RNAcentral lists this ribosomal RNA (312 nucleotides) under uncultured bacterium. RNAcentral's name for it is "bacterial SSU rRNA". It matches the Rfam family "Bacterial small subunit ribosomal RNA", at positions 485 to 796 of the family's 1533-position model. The record is from RNAcentral.
AAAAAGCACCGGCUAACUACGUGCCAGCAGCCGCGGUAAUACGUAGGGUGCGAGCGUUAAUCGGAAUAACUGGGCGUAAAGGGUGAGUAGGCGGUUUAGUAAGAUAGUUGUGAAAUUCCCGCGCUUAACGUGGGGACUGCGGCUAUGACUGCUAAACUAGAAUAGAACAGAGGAAAGUGGAAUUCCACGUGUAGCAGUGAAAUGCGUAGAGAUGUGGAGGAACACCAAUGGCGAAGGCAGCUUUCUGGGUUACUAUUGACGCUCAGUCACGAAAGCGUGGGGAGCAAACAGGAUUAGAUACCCUAGUAGUCC